GGGUGGGGGCGUGAUUUUCGGGACACAUUCUAUUUUCGGGACACAUACCGCCCCACUGUCGUGUUCAUCUCAGAGACGCGGCAGUGCGAAGAGAGCAUGAAAAGAAUAAGAGAAAGAAUAGGCCUCAAACAUUGUAUCACCCAUGAUGGGUUGGGCAAAGGUGCCGGCAUCGCCCUGUUUUGGGACGACAGUAUUGAAAUAAAUUUGCUCUCUUAUGGACCGCGAUACAUUGAUGUUCAUGUGCGUAAUGAUCCAAAUGGCCCUGUGUGAAGAGGUACCUUCGUUUAUGGUGAGCCAAGAGCCCACCAGAGACACCAUAUGUGGAGUUUGCUGAAAAGAAUCAAAGAUAGGUCAGUAGAACCAUGGAUGGUGAUGGGGGAUUUCAAUGAAACCAUGUGGCAGGGAGAACAUUUCUCUGCUGCCAAAAGGUCUGAAAGGAACAUGAGCAACUUCAUAGAGGUGCUGGGGUGGUGUGACCUGCAUGAUCUUGGGUUCAAAGGCCCGGAGUGGACCUUUGACAACAAACAGAGUGGUAGGAAGAAGGUUAGAGCGAGACUGGACAGAGGCGUGGCAUCACCUAGCUGGUAUGAUAUAUUUCCCCAAGCUCAGAUCCAACACAUAGUCACUUCAAGGUCAGAUCACUUUCCCCUACUGCUCACUCUUGUGGAGGAA
This 672-nucleotide ribosomal RNA is filed under the name Triticum aestivum (bread wheat). RNAcentral describes it as "partial small subunit ribosomal RNA". The record is from RNAcentral. Lineage: Eukaryota; Viridiplantae; Streptophyta; Magnoliopsida; Poales; Poaceae.